AACGAACGCUGGCGGCGCGUCUUAAGCAUGCAAGUCGAACGGCAAGAGAGGAGCUUGCUUCUCUCCUAGAGUGGCGGACUGGUGAGGAACACGUGGGUAAUCUACCCUUAAGAUGGGGAUAGCUGCUAGAAAUAGCAGGUAAUACCGAAUACACUCGGCAUAUCACAAGAGGUGUUGAGGAAAGGAAGCUACGGCUUCGCUUGAGGAUGAGCUUGCGUCCCAUUAGCUAGUUGGUGAGGUAAAGGCCCACCAAGGCGACGAUGGGUAUCCGGCCUGAGAGGGUGAACGGACACAUUGGGACUGAGAUACGGCCCAAACUCCUACGGGAGGCAGCAGCUAAGAAUAUUCCGCAAUGGACGGAAGUCUGACGGAGCGACGCUGCGUGGAUGAAGAAGGCUGAAAAGUUGUAAAAUCCUUUUGUUGAUGAAGAAUAAGGGUGAGAGGGAAUGCUCAUCUGAUGACGGUAAUCGACGAAUAAGCCCCGGCUAAUUACGUG
RNAcentral lists this ribosomal RNA (496 nucleotides) under uncultured bacterium. RNAcentral's name for it is "partial 16S ribosomal RNA". It matches the Rfam family "Bacterial small subunit ribosomal RNA", at positions 29 to 507 of the family's 1533-position model. The record is from RNAcentral.